AGAGUUUGAUCCUGGCUCAGGACGAACGCUGGCGGCGUGCCUAAUACAUGCAAGUCGAGCGAGCUUGCCUAGAUGAUUUUAGUGCUUGCACUAAAUGAAACUAGAUACAAGCGAGCGGCGGACGGGUGAGUAACACGUGGGUAACCUGCCCAAGAGACUGGGAUAACACCUGGAAACAGAUGCUAAUACCGGAUAACAACACUAGACGCAUGUCUAGAGUUUGAAAGAUGGUUCUGCUAUCACUCUUGGAUGGACCUGCGGUGCAUUAGCUAGUUGGUAAGGUAACGGCUUACCAAGGCAAUGAUGCAUAGCCGAGUUGAGAGACUGAUCGGCCACAUUGGGACUGAGACACGGCCCAAACUCCUACGGGAGGCAGCAGUAGGGAAUCUUCCACAAUGGACGAAAGUCUGAUGGAGCAACGCCGCGUGAGUGAAGAAGGGUUUCGGCUCGUAAAGCUCUGUUGGUAGUGAAGAAAGAUAGAGGUAGUAACUGGCCUUUAUUUGACGGUAAUUACUUAGAAAGUCACGGCUAACUACGUGCCAGCAGCCGCGGUAAUACGUAGGUGGCAAGCGUUGUCCGGAUUUAUUGGGCGUAAAGCGAGUGCAGGCGGUUCAAUAAGCCUGAUGUGAAAGCCUUCGGCUCAACCGGAGAAUUGCAUCAGAAACUGUUGAACUUGAGUGCAGAAGAGGAGAGUGGAACUCCAUGUGUAGCGGUGGAAUGCGUAGAUAUAUGGAAGAACACCAGUGGCGAAGGCGGCUCUCUGGUCUGCAACUGACGCUGAGGCUCGAAAGCAUGGGUAGCGAACAGGAUUAGAUACCCUGGUAGUCCAUGCCGUAAACGAUGAGUGCUAAGUGUUGGGAGGUUUCCGCCUCUCAGUGCUGCAGCUAACGCAUUAAGCACUCCGCCUGGGGAGUA
This 915-nucleotide ribosomal RNA is filed under the name uncultured bacterium. Its description in RNAcentral is "bacterial SSU rRNA". It matches the Rfam family "Bacterial small subunit ribosomal RNA", at positions 8 to 882 of the family's 1533-position model. The record is from RNAcentral.